This 73-nucleotide transfer RNA is filed under the name Neotoma lepida (desert woodrat). It matches the Rfam family "tRNA". Rfam says of the family: Transfer RNA (tRNA) molecules are approximately 80 nucleotides in length. Their secondary structure includes four short double-helical elements and three loops (D, anti-codon, and T loops). The record is from Rfam by way of RNAcentral. Lineage: Eukaryota; Metazoa; Chordata; Mammalia; Rodentia; Cricetidae.
GGAGAUGGCUCAGUGGGUAAGAGCACUUGCUCUGUAAGCAUGAGGUCCUGCGUUUAAAACCUCAGCAUCCUCA